This 440-nucleotide ribosomal RNA is filed under the name uncultured soil bacterium. RNAcentral describes it as "bacterial SSU rRNA". It matches the Rfam family "Bacterial small subunit ribosomal RNA", at positions 26 to 476 of the family's 1533-position model. The record is from RNAcentral.
AGAUUGAACGCUGGCGGCAUGCCUUACACAUGCAAGUCGAACGGUAGAGUAGCAAUACUCGAGAGUGGCGAACGGGUGAGUAAUAUAUCGGAACGUGCCCAGUCGUGGGGGAUAACGUAGAGAAAUUUACGCUAAUACCGCAUACGAUCUAAGGAUGAAAGCGGGGGCUUCGCAAGAACCUCGCGCGAUUGGAGCGGCUGAUAUCAGAUUAGCUUGUUGGUGAGGUAAAAGCUCACCAAGGCGACGAUCUGUAGCUGGUUUGAGAGAACGACCAGCCACACUGGGACUGAGACACGGCCCAGACUCGUACGGAGGCAGCAGUGGGAAUUUGGACAAUGGCGAAAGCCUGAUCCAGCAAUGACCGGCUGCUAAGGAAGAAGGCCGUCGGUUGUAAACUGUCGUUUCGUACGGAACGUAACGUCGUAGCUUUAAUAACCAGU